This 495-nucleotide ribosomal RNA is filed under the name uncultured bacterium. RNAcentral's name for it is "partial 16S ribosomal RNA". It matches the Rfam family "Bacterial small subunit ribosomal RNA", at positions 28 to 507 of the family's 1533-position model. The record is from RNAcentral.
GACGAACGCUGGCGGCGUGCCUAAUACAUGCAAGUAGAACGCUGAAGGAGGAGCUUGCUCUUCUGGAUGAGUUGCGAACGGGUGAGUAACGCGUAGGUAACCUGCCUGGUAGCGGGGGAUAACUAUUGGAAACGAUAGCUAAUACCGCAUAAGAGUAGAUGUUGCAUGACAUUUACUUAAAAGGUGCAAUUGCAUCACUACCAGAUGGACCUGCGUUGUAUUAGCUAGUUGGUGGGGUAACGGCUUACCAAGGCGACGAUACAUAGCCGACCUGAGAGGGUGAUCGGCCAGCCUGGGACUGGGACACGGCCCAGACUCCUACGGGAGGCAGCAGUAGGGAAUCUUCGGCAAUGGACGGAAGUCUGACCGAGCAACGCCGCGUGAGUGAAGAAGGUUGUCGGAUCGUAAAGAUCUGUUGUAAGAGAAGAACGAGUGUGAGGGUGGAAAGUUCACGCUGUGACGGUAUCUUACCAGAAAGGGACGGCUAACUACGUG